Molecule: ribosomal RNA, 390 nt
Filed under: uncultured bacterium
Lineage: Bacteria
Description: bacterial SSU rRNA
Rfam family: Bacterial small subunit ribosomal RNA
Source: RNAcentral
AGAGUUUGAUCCUGGCUCAGGACGAACGCUGGCGGCGUGCUUAACACAUGCAAGUCGAAUGGUGAAGUCCCUUCGGGGGCGGAUCAGUGGCGAACGGGUGAGUAACACGUGGGCAAUCUGCCCCUCACUGUGGGAUAACUCCGGGAAACCGGGGCUAAUACCGCAUAUGAAGCCUGGCGGCAUCGCCGGGUUUGGAAAGUUUUUCGGUGAGGGAUGAGCCCGCGGCCUAUCAGCUUGUUGGUGAGGUAAUGGCUCACCAAGGCGACGACGGGUAGCCGGCCUGAGAGGGCGACCGGCCACACUGGGACUGAGACACGGCCCAGACUCCUACGGGAGGCAGCAGUGGGGAAUAUUGGGCAAUGGGCGAAAGCCUGACCCAGCGACGCCGCG